This 562-nucleotide ribosomal RNA is filed under the name Limosilactobacillus oris. RNAcentral's name for it is "bacterial SSU rRNA". It matches the Rfam family "Bacterial small subunit ribosomal RNA", at positions 40 to 558 of the family's 1533-position model. Lineage: Bacteria; Bacillati; Bacillota; Bacilli; Lactobacillales; Lactobacillaceae. The record is from RNAcentral.
CGGUGUGCCUAAUACAUGCAAGUCGAGCGCACUGGCCCAACAGAAAUGACGUGCUUGCACUGAUUUGACGUUGGAUUCCCAGUGAGCGGCGGACGGGUGAGUAACACGUGGGCAACCUGCCCCAAAGCGGGGGAUAACAUUUGGAAACAGGUGCUAAUACCGCAUAACUUGGAAAACCACAUGGUUUUCCAAUAAAAGAUGGUUUCGGCUAUCACUUUGGGAUGGGCCCGCGGUGCAUUAGCUAGUUGGUAAGGUAACGGCUUACCAAGGCGAUGAUGCAUAGCCGAGUUGAGAGACUGAUCGGCCACAAUGGAACUGAGACACGGUCCAUACUCCUACGGGAGGCAGCAGUAGGGAAUCUUCCACAAUGGGCGCAAGCCUGAUGGAGCAACACCGCGUGAGUGAAGAAGGGUUUCGGCUCGUAAAACUCUGUUGUUGGAGAAGAACGUGCGUAAGAGUAACUGUUUACGCAGUGACGGUAUCCAACCAGAAAGUCACGGCUAACUACGUGCCAGCAGCCGCGGUAAUACGUAGGUGGCAAGCGUUAUCCGGAUUUAUUGGG